UAGCUAUAUCAUACCAUGUGCUGGUGAGUCCUGUCCACCCAACUUCUGGGCAAGCGCCCAUCUGACUGCCCUUUAGCCAGACAAGAAGAGCAGUAAGCACCCAGUCAUGGGGCAGCUGCUGAGUGCUU
Non-coding RNA from Rattus norvegicus (Norway rat), 128 nucleotides. The record is from Rfam. Lineage: Eukaryota; Metazoa; Chordata; Mammalia; Rodentia; Muridae.